RNAcentral lists this long non-coding RNA (4842 nucleotides) under Sus scrofa (pig). RNAcentral's name for it is "lncRNA (ENSSSCG00000052085.1)". The record is from RNAcentral. Lineage: Eukaryota; Metazoa; Chordata; Mammalia; Artiodactyla; Suidae.
UAACGUGUAAUGAGCAUCUCACAGGUGACCAGCCAAGUCUGCUUCCUUCCUGUCAGAUGACCUUCACCACACCCUUGAGAGAAAGGACAGGAGUCAUUAGAUCCAUUUCAGAGGUAAGAAAACUCAUGUGCUGGGUGCAUAAAUGAGCUGCCACAGGCAACAUGAUCAGGAAAUGAGCACAUCAAAAGUAGGACCCUAGACUUUUCUGUCGGACAUGGAACUGAAGAGUGUUUGUAAAUUGCUAUGAAAGAUUCUAAAGUCAAUUCUGUCUGCAAAGUCUAAAAAAUAUUUAAUGUUUGUACUUUAUGUCUUGGGGAGUUUUAAUUUUGUUUCGUAAUGAAUUUGACUGUAUUCUAGAAAGUAUAUCAGUCCACACAGUUUGAAAAUUGAAAAAACAAAUCCUUCACCAGAAAACAAAUCCUUCACUGUUGGACUCAAAUUCCUCUCAAGUGCAAAUCAGUGCCUACACGGGUAUGGGUGACAAUCAGCCUGUAUCAAGAAUUCUACAGGUAUACCUAUAAAUGUAAUCAAACUCAUUAAGCAAUUUAAAAAAAAAAAGAAUUCUACCCAUCACUUCAAAAUACUUUGUAAUAGUUAAGAAAUGCAAAUAUUCACAAAAUAUAUUCUAAGCAGCUUAUAGAAAACAGCAUAUAAUGCCCAAAGAGGUCAAGGCUGCGUUUUAAAAUAGCAGACAUCAAGGACAGAAUCUGAAAGCAAAGGUUCAAGGUUACCCGCAGGGGCACAGGAUGGCGUGUUCUUUCCUUACGGCGCAGAGAAGAAACCACAGCCCUACCCAACCACGGCCCCGGUGCUGACCUAUCCAGGGAGCUCUGGCUGUCAACCAUUCCCUAGGACCCUGAACCUCCCUGCUGGAAAGGACCUCCAGUGCCUUCUUGUCAUCUUGGGUCACUCCAGGAAUAAAGGGUGAAGAGGGUCUCUUUGGCACCCACCUGAACCACCACAUCAUUGGCUGGGUGCAUUCCUGUAGCGUUUUCUCUGUUCCCUUUCAGAUGAUCAUUAAAAUCAGGUUCAAUACAAUUUAUCGCAUUAAAAUCAGAUUCUUUUUUGAGAUAAUAAACUAUGUUCUACUGUUUCUAUCUCUGAUAACCUGGUCCUUUGAAGUCACGAAGUUUCUAACAGGAACUGCCGUGAUCAUUCUUGUCAACAUGAAUUGUCUCAUGUUCAGCGUUCCUUUCAUUGCCUUAAUUUUCAGGUAAUUAUACUCCUUUGUUCCACCCCACGUAGCACUUCACCUGCCUUGGUAUUUAUACAUCCAAAUAAUUGCAGAGGGUUAUCAAGGCCUAUCUUUGCUGUCUCUAAGCCAGCUCGAGCCUAUUUAAUUCCCUUCCCUGUCCUCCUCAGUCAGUCCCUCCAACCCCUCCAUCAUCUUCCUGACUCCGUGUCUGAACCUUUUCCAAGAAAACGUCUACAUCUUUCCUGGUCGCAGGCUCCCGGAACAAAUGCGGUUUUCAGGUGCCAUUUCAUCAGAAUCACUUCCCUACCCGGGGGUAAAUCUCUUGAAUUCUUCACAUCCCUUUGGUCUUCUUCCCCCUUCUCAUAGCCAGUGUGGGUCCAAGGCAUUUCUUUGCCCAAGGCAAAAUGAGGCUUCUUUUCUUUUAUGCCAUGUAGUUGGAUUCGUUUCAGAAAGGUUCACGCACUCUCUCUUCUACACCCCCCCCCCGCAACUGUCCCCUUUUGCUCCUGAAUUUUAGAUACGCUGCUAAAUUAUAUGGCUGCAAGACACCAUAAAUAAAUCCAAGGUCUUGUAGUAUUUAAAAAGGUGGCAAAAGUGUGGACUCCGGUUAUUCAUUUCUAAAAGCCUGAGUGUCCUCCUCUUUAAAAGUGGACAGUAAUGAUCCAAAUAAGAAAAUGUAUGUGGAAUUAAGAGGAUACAAAAUUAUUUAUAAUAGCUAAGGAAUUACAUAAAGUAAGUUUUUAGGAGUUCCCGUCAUAGCUCAGCAGAAACAAAUCUGACUAGCAUCCAUGAGGACGCAGGUUCGAUCCCUGGCCUCACUCAGCGGGUUAAGGAUCCAGCGUUGCCAUGAGCUGUGGUGGAGGUUGCAGACAUGGCUCGGAUCCUGCGUGGCUGUGGCUGGCGGCUACAGCUCUGAUUUGACCCUUAGCCUGGGAACCUCUGUAUGCAGCAAGUGUGGCCCUAAAAAGACAAAAGAAAGGAAGGAAAGAAGGAAAGAAAGAAAAGAUUUUAAUUCGGAGUCACAAAAUGAUUUGGUAAAAGUAAACACUGCAUGCGGAAGAAAUACUACUGGUCAUCCACACUUUAUACUCUCUCAAAAGUCUUCAAAAUCACGAAGAGUCUAUUGCUUACAUAUAUACUGAGUCAGCGCUCGUCCUACCCAGGAAAAGGAAGCUACAUACCCCUUCGCGUCUCUGUCCUUCCUUCCAUGGCUCCUAAGGAGCAGCCUUUGUGAACCCAUGAAAUUUCAUGUUUGCAAAAACCGUAUUACGAAAACUACUUUUCAGUCAGGGUCUAAAGGGAAAGAUAUUUUGAGAGUGGCCAGAUUACCCGACUCGUUUUUUUAAGUUAAACUUUUUCUGCAGGAAAUGUUUAAAUAAAGGCAUUUGCUACAGCUAGCGUUUCCAAAGGCAGGCCACUGUACUGAACACACGCGACGGCGACCACGCACAGCUCUUGUUCCAGAGUAACAGCAUUCCUUUUCCUCAGCUUUUCCGUCACAUCCUUCACCCCCGCUAACACUCCCGGGGUCAGGAUGAUCAGCCUACUGGCAAUUUCCGCACAGCCUCCCACAGAGCCUCCCAUAAAGACCAGAGUUAUUAGACAAGGACUCACCUCUCAGUCCGCAAAAGGAUAGAAUGUGCUGGAUGUCGAUGCGCUCCAAGCCAGGACGCUCGCCCCGCCCCACCCAUAUUUAUUGGGUGUGUUGAUGGCCAACAGCUCUCAGUUGUGUUCACCUGCAGUAAUUGCCUUGCAGUGAAAACAGCCCCCUCACCCAUGGUUCAUGGCCCCACUCACCUGCAUCCAAUGAUUGGUCAGAGAAAGACCUUAAAGGCUUAGAGUUGGCUGAGUUGCAAACCAUUGUAGUUCAACUUCCCCGGGGGCCCAGUUCUGCUUCCUUCAUUUCCUCUAGAGUUUGAACUCCCACAUUGUCCAAUAAGCCUCCUGUACCUAAAUCUUUGUCUCCGAGUCUGCUUUCCAAGAACCCACUGAGGUCCAAAGAAGCAAACUCAGAAGUGGGAUUUUGAAUAAGGAUGAACAGCUGGCCUGUUGGCCAUAAGGACAGGGAGUAGAGGGGGCCUGGAAAGCUCCUGGAAAAGGUAGCAGUGCAAUUGUUAAAACUUUCACCAGUGGAAGUACCUACUGUACAUCACAGGGAACUCUGUUCAAUAUCCUGUAAAUAACCUACAUGGCGAAAAGAAUCUGAAAAAGAAUGCAUGUAUGUAUAUGUAUAACCGAAUCACUUUGCUGCAUACCUGAAACUAACACAGCAUUGUAAAUCAACUAUACUCUGAUAUAAAAUAAAAAUUAAACUAUAAAAAAAACGUUUUCACUAGUGGAAAUCCAGACCUGGGUACCAUGGCAAGAAAUGCAUGGGCUGAUGCAACAUAUCAGACAUUUGGAUACAUGUUGAGAUCAGUAGAUUCUAUGGGGAAAGACAAAUUCCUGAAAGUGACAGAUCACCAAUUAAAGUGUUCAAGCCAAAGGCCUCCUUAAGCUGUAUACGGAGAGACUCUUAUCUUUUACAACGAGAAGGCAAGAAAAAUUGGGGAUCUGACCCAGGACUUAAUUGAAGAGGAGCAGAGCUCCAGAAGAGGUUGUAUUCUCAACUUGACCCAUGCACUACGCCAAAGUCAGGGCUUGGAUGUGGAGGUCCUGAGAACAUAGAAAUGAGGUGGAGAUAUCCUGAUACAGUAGAAAAAUCUUGACCCCUCAGAUGUUUCCUGAGCCUUUUGGACCUACGGAAGUGAUCCACUCCUCCUGUUAAAGGCUAGUGUCUAUUCGAAUAAUCACUCAGUCUAUGAUAAGGAAGAGAAGGGAGUUUUGCUUGAGCCAAGGUGAGGACUGUAGCCCGGGAGACAGAGAUCCAAGAAGCACAAUGACUGAGGCUUCUGUGGCCAAAAACUGCAACUUACAUAGGUUGUCAAGAAUUAGGAUUGGAACUGGCAAGAAGCAAGGGUGCUAGUGAAGCAAGAAUUGGUUGGAGUCUAAAAAUGGUUGCAUAGUGACAAGGAGAGACCUCAAGACUCUAAGGUUGUAGCUGGCCGCUAAUAGUAGAUAAUUGUUUUGCAAAUGGGUGGUUUUUGCAAAUUUGACACAGUUUUGAAAAUUUGAGUUGUUGGUGAUGCAGAAACACAUCUGAAACCAUAUCCACGACGGCCAUGCAGCUCCAUUUUGGAUGCCUGAACCUCAGUUACUCCAUUUGAUUUUUAAAUGAUUUUAAUUAUGUCAGCACUACAGAUCUCCUUUUCUUAAAAAUGGCUAAGGAUGGAGUUCCCGUUGUGGCUCAAUAGUUGGCGAAUCCGACCAGGAACCAUGAGGUUUCGAGUUUGAUCCCUGGCCUCGCUCAGUGGGUUGAGGAUCCAGCGUUGCCAUGAGCUGUGGUGUAGGCUGUAGAUGUGGCUCGGAUCCUGCGUUGCUGUGGUUGUGGCGUAGGCCGGCGGCUACAGCUCUGAUUGGACCCCUGGCCUGGGAACCUCCAUAUGCCAUGGGAGAGGCCCAAGAAACGGCAAAAAAAAGACAGAAAAAAAAAUGGCUAAGGAACUUCUGCCUUACACACACACACACACACACACACACACACACACACACACACCAUUCUUGACCUACUCCCACCUCCUGGCCACCAGGCAAUAACUAGGACUGAG